CCUACGGGAGGCACCAGUGGGGAAUAUCGGACAAUGGGCGAAAGCCUGAUCCAGCAAUGCCGCGUGCGUGAAGAAGGUCUUCGGAUUGUAAAGCACUUUCGACGGGGACGAUGAUGACGGUACCCGUAGAAGAAGCCCCGGCUAACUUCGUGCCAGCAGCCGCGGUAAUACGAAGGGGCUAGCGUUGCUCGGAAUGACUGGGCGUAAAGGGCGCGUAGGCGGUUUAUGCAGUCAGAUGUGAAAUCCCCGGGCUUAACCUGGGAACUGCAUUAGAGACGCAUAGGCUAGAGGUCGAGAGAGGGUUGUGGAAUUCCCAGUGUAGAGGUGAAAUUCGUAGAUAUUGGGAAGAUCACCGGUGGCGAAGGGGGCAACCUGGCUCGAUACUGACGCUGAGGCGCGAAAGCGUGGGGAGCAAACAGGAUUAGAUACCCCAGUAGUC
This 439-nucleotide ribosomal RNA is filed under the name uncultured bacterium. RNAcentral's name for it is "bacterial SSU rRNA". It matches the Rfam family "Bacterial small subunit ribosomal RNA", at positions 338 to 795 of the family's 1533-position model. The record is from RNAcentral.